GUAGGUGGCAAGCGUUGUCCGGAAUUAUUGGGCGUAAAGCGCGCGCAGGGCGGUCCUUUAAGUCUGAUGUGAAAAGCCCACGGCUCAACCGUGGAGGGUCAUUGGAAACUGGGGGACUUGAGUACAGAAGAGGAAAGCGGAAUUCCAAGUGUAGCGGUGAAAUGCGUAGAGAUUUGGAGGAACACCAGUGGCGAAGGCGGCUUUCUGGUCUGUAACUGACGCUGAGGCGCGAAAGCGUGGGGAGCAAACAGGAUUAGAUACCCUGGUAGUCCACGCCGUAAACGAUGAGUGCUAAUGUUAGGGGGUUUCCGCCCCUUAGUGCUGCAGCUAACGCAUUAAGCACUCCGCCUGGGGAGUACGGCCGCAAGGCUG
This 372-nucleotide ribosomal RNA is filed under the name uncultured organism. Its description in RNAcentral is "partial 16S ribosomal RNA". It matches the Rfam family "Bacterial small subunit ribosomal RNA", at positions 527 to 896 of the family's 1533-position model. The record is from RNAcentral.